RNAcentral lists this ribosomal RNA (483 nucleotides) under uncultured bacterium. Its description in RNAcentral is "bacterial SSU rRNA". It matches the Rfam family "Bacterial small subunit ribosomal RNA", at positions 28 to 506 of the family's 1533-position model. The record is from RNAcentral.
GAUGAACGCUAGCGGCAGGCUUAACACAUGCAAGUCGAACGGCAGCACAGGUAGCAAUACUGGGUGGCGAGUGGCGCACGGGUGCGUAACGCGUAUGCAACCUACCUCUAUCUGGGAGAUAGCCCGAAGAAAUUCGGAUUAAUACCCCAUAAUAUAUGUCUUUCGCAUGUUAGACAUAUUAAAGCUUUGGCGGAUAGAGAUGGGCAUGCGUGACAUUAGCUAGUUGGUAAGGUAACGGCUAACCAAGGCUACGAUGUCUAGGGGGUCUGAGAGGAUUAUCCCCCACACUGGUACUGAGACACGGACCAGACUCCUACGGGAGGCAGCAGUGAGGAAUAUUGGACAAUGGGCGAAAGCCUGAUCCAGCCAUGCCGCGUGCAGGAAGACGGCCCUAUGGGUUGUAACCUGCUUUUAUAUGGGAAUAAACCUCCGAACGUGUUCGGAGCUGAAGGUACCAUACGAAUAAGGAUCGGCUAACUCCGU